Molecule: non-coding RNA, 48 nt
Filed under: Schistosoma curassoni
Lineage: Eukaryota; Metazoa; Platyhelminthes; Trematoda; Strigeidida; Schistosomatidae
Source: RNAcentral
AUUCAGUUGAUGAGUCCCAAAUAGGACGCAAUGCGCGUCAAACUGGAU